RNAcentral lists this small nuclear RNA (285 nucleotides) under Tursiops truncatus (common bottlenose dolphin). Its description in RNAcentral is "7SK RNA (ENSTTRG00000024090.1)". It matches the Rfam family "7SK RNA". Rfam says of the family: 7SK was discovered as an abundant small nuclear RNA in the mid-70s but a possible function has only recently been suggested. Two independent studies have found that 7SK RNA binds the CDK9/cyclin T complex (known as elongation factor P-TEFb). The record is from RNAcentral. Lineage: Eukaryota; Metazoa; Chordata; Mammalia; Artiodactyla; Delphinidae.
GGAUGUGAGGGCAGCCCAGCUGCAACAUCUGUCACCCCAUUGAGAGCCAGGGUUGACUCAGCUGAUCUGGCUGGCUAGGCAGGUGUCCCCUUCCUCCCUCCCAUGUGUAUCCCUCCUGAAGCUGCAUGCUCAGUGGAAGAGGAUGACCUUCCUCAGUAGGGUCCAUUCUUCAGUCAAGGAUGUACAAGUAGCUGUGCUCCCCUGCUACAACCUCCGAACAAGCUCUCAAGGUCCAUUUACAGGAGAACACAGGAUAGUCAAGCUUCCAAGAUUCCAGUCACUGAU